GAACUGGAUUAAACCACAAAUAAUGAGUCAUUUGAAUAUAAACUCGACACAAAAAACUGAAAUUCUCCCUUGGAGGUGAAUAUCACCUAUUUCAUAUGCAUUGCCCACUCGACACAGUAUAUAUUUAUGCAUGUUUGUAGCCUUAAUCAGAAAAAUUUUUGCCAGGUUUUGUUGGUGCUAUGCUCUCUCCUUCUCGUCUCCUCAAGUGUAAGAAUAGGCUAUCUAAGCAAUGAAAUGCCACUCAAGGAACAGAUAAUCGAGAUGAUCAUUUGGUAUUUAAGCAAUCUAUUGAUGAGUUUCUUAGAUAAUGGAAAUAAAUACUAAAUUCGCUUCAAGAAGAAAUGAUUUUCUUGAAAGGGCACACUUUCAAGUUUAAAAUUAUUAUGGUCUCUCCCACUGGCUGUCACCAGACAGGCAGCAGUACAGACAAGUACCGUAAAAGAGAUGGUGAGAGGAAAAUGUCUUCACUUACCCACGGAGACAGAACGCGUGCAUCUUGCAUAUGUAUAGCAGAGAUUAUUUGUCAACAACUGAGUUCCAUCUCGACACAGUAUAUAUUUAUGCAUGUUUGUAGCCUUAAUCAGAAAAAAUUUUGCCAGGUUUUGUUGGUGCUAUGCUCUCUCCUUCUCGUCUCCUCAAGUGUAAGAAUAGGCUAUCUAAGCAAUGAAAUGCCACUCAAGGAACAGAUAAUCGAGAUGAUCAUUUGGUAUUUAAGCAAUCUAUUGAUGAGUUUCUUAGAUAAUGGAAAUAAAUACUAAAUUCGCUUCAAGAAGAAAUGAUUUUCUUGAAAGGGCACACUUUCAAGUUUAAAAUUAUUAUGGUCUCUCCCACUGGCUGUCACCAGACAGGCAGCAGUACAGACAAGUACCGUAAAAGAGAUGGUGAGAGGAAAAUGUCUUCACUUACCCAC
Molecule: long non-coding RNA, 910 nt
Filed under: Olea europaea (common olive)
Lineage: Eukaryota; Viridiplantae; Streptophyta; Magnoliopsida; Lamiales; Oleaceae
Description: long non-coding RNA (OEUR_LNC008264)
Source: RNAcentral